AGGUCUGUCGCCAAGCGGUAAGGGAACGGGUUUUUAUCCCGUCAUACCCAGGUUCGAAUCCUGGCAGACCUGCCA
RNAcentral lists this transfer RNA (75 nucleotides) under Vibrio cholerae. RNAcentral's name for it is "tRNA-Lys". It matches the Rfam family "tRNA". From Rfam's summary of the family: Transfer RNA (tRNA) molecules are approximately 80 nucleotides in length. Their secondary structure includes four short double-helical elements and three loops (D, anti-codon, and T loops). The record is from RNAcentral. Lineage: Bacteria; Pseudomonadati; Pseudomonadota; Gammaproteobacteria; Vibrionales; Vibrionaceae.